RNAcentral lists this ribosomal RNA (324 nucleotides) under uncultured bacterium. RNAcentral's name for it is "bacterial SSU rRNA". It matches the Rfam family "Bacterial small subunit ribosomal RNA", at positions 28 to 334 of the family's 1533-position model. The record is from RNAcentral.
GACGAACGCUGGCGGCGUGCUUAACACAUGCAAGUCGAACGGAGUGCUCAUGACAGAGGUUUUGGCCAAUGGAUUGAGUUACUUAGUGGCGGACUGGUGAGUAACGCGUGAGGAACCUGCCUUUCAGAGGGGGACAACAGUUGGAAACGGCUGCUAAUACCGCAUAAGCGCACAGUGGGACAUCCCACAGUGUGAAAAACUCCGGUGGUACAGGAUGGGCCCGCGUCUGAUUAGCUAGUUGGCAGGGUAACGGCCUACCAAGGCAACGAUCAGUAGCCGGUCUGAGAGGAUGAACGGCCACAUUGGAACUGAGACACGGUCCAA